UACGAAGGGGGCUAGCGUUGUUCGGAAUCACUGGGCGUAAAGCGCACGUAGGCGGAUCUUUAAGUCAGAGGUGAAAUCCCAAGGCUCAACCUUGGAACUGCCUUUGAUACUGGGGAUCUUGAGUCCGGGAGAGGUGAGUGGAACUGCGAGUGUAGAGGUGAAAUUCGUAGAUAUUCGCAAGAACACCAGUGGCGAAGGCGGACUCACUGGCCCGGUACUGACGCUGAGGUGCGAAAGCGUGGGGAGC
RNAcentral lists this ribosomal RNA (247 nucleotides) under uncultured bacterium. Its description in RNAcentral is "partial 16S ribosomal RNA". It matches the Rfam family "Bacterial small subunit ribosomal RNA", at positions 524 to 769 of the family's 1533-position model. The record is from RNAcentral.